This 243-nucleotide long non-coding RNA is filed under the name Lathyrus oleraceus (garden pea). Its description in RNAcentral is "Pisum sativum (pea) long non-coding RNA (PSAT_LNC024361)". Lineage: Eukaryota; Viridiplantae; Streptophyta; Magnoliopsida; Fabales; Fabaceae. The record is from RNAcentral.
UUGUUCUUGUUUUGUUCUUGUUCUUGUUGUUGUUCUUGUUUUUGUUUUUGUUAUUGUUAUUGUUCUUUUUGUUCUUGUUAUUGUUGUUGUUGUUGUUGUUCUUGUUGUUGUUGUUGUUGUUCUUGUUGUUGUUGUUCUUCUUAUUGUUCUUGUUGUUGUUCUUGUUUUUGUUUUUGUUAUUGUUAUUGUUCUUUUUGUUCUUGUUAUUGUUGUUGUUGUUGUUCUUGUUGUUGUUGUUCUUCU